Molecule: small RNA, 91 nt
Filed under: Escherichia coli
Lineage: Bacteria; Pseudomonadati; Pseudomonadota; Gammaproteobacteria; Enterobacterales; Enterobacteriaceae
Description: partial RtT sRNA
Rfam family: RtT RNA
About the family: This family represents a bacterial cis-regulatory element known as RtT RNA.
Source: RNAcentral
AUUCUGCCCAUGCGGGGAAGGAUGAGAAGCUUCGACUAAGGUUCGGCUCGAGCGUCAGCGAGAGAGCGUUGCCGCAGGCAACGACCCGAAG